CGGAGUAGUAGUGAUGGCUAAUGGGGGUACUAUCUUACAAUGGGGGUAGCAUCAACCUCUUUUAUACUAAAUUCAGCAGCAUCUUCAUUGUCUGAAGGUGAAGGUGUGUGAGGAGGAUAUGUACUCAAAUUCUUCAUCCUUAUUCCCCAUGGAGGUGAGUCCUCUGUAGUUUCUACAUUUCUCCCCUUUGCAGACUUUUGUGCCUUUCCCCUUGAUGGGUACUCGUAUAUAUCACUGCUACUGG
Molecule: long non-coding RNA, 244 nt
Filed under: Capsicum annuum
Lineage: Eukaryota; Viridiplantae; Streptophyta; Magnoliopsida; Solanales; Solanaceae
Description: long non-coding RNA (CANN_LNC014848)
Source: RNAcentral